Molecule: long non-coding RNA, 6541 nt
Filed under: Homo sapiens (human)
Lineage: Eukaryota; Metazoa; Chordata; Mammalia; Primates; Hominidae
Description: HSALNT0405313
Rfam family: Myocardial infarction associated transcript exon 5 conserved region 1 (bases 5101-5249)
Source: RNAcentral
AAAAAUACAAAAAUUAACUGCAUGGUGGCAUGUGCCUAUAGCCCAGCUACUCUGGAGGCUGGGGCAGGAGGAUCACUUGAACCCAGGAGGCGGAGGUUGCAGUGAGCCGAGAUCAUGCCACUGCACUCCAGCCUGGGUGACAGAGUGAGAUCCUGUCUCCAGAAAAAAAGAAAGAAAGAAAGAAAGAAAGAAAGAAAGAAAGAAAGAAAAACAAUUAACUUUGAGUCACACAUUGAGUACGUAGGAGUGAGAGAGCCACAGUUUCCUCCAGGUUUCUCUAGCCCCAAAGCCCAUACCUUCCUUUGUACCCUCUAAGACGGUGUCAGCUAAAGGUCCCUUGAAACCUCCAUCACCUUAUUAAUAUCAUGACUCUAGGUCCACAGAACGAGGGGAAAGGGUCACUGUGGAUCAAGCCAGGCUCCUCUGAGCAGUCCAGGGUCUAUUUACAGAGAGCAGCAAGUUCCUGGGACAGAGGAGACAGAAGGGAAUUUCCAGGUUCUUCAGGACGUUCACAACCACACUGAGAAGCAUCUUUGCAGAUAAGUAUUUAAACUUACCAGCCCAUAGCCUACCAGCCUGCCCUCUUCUGGUCUGUGCAGGAAAGUGUAGUAUCCUAGAAUGCCAAAGUGGGAGGGGAAAUGGGUGAUGUAGCUCAUUCUCUUUUCUACCUCUAUGGAAGAAAGAAAGAGCCUGUCCCCAUUUUGUGGGGUCCCAGAAAGGGUGAUUUUCACACUUCACAUUUGGCGUUAGGGCUAGUAUUUCACAAACAUUACCGUCUGGAACUUUUGAAGGCUGAGUUAAAUGACUUCAUCUUGUGUACUUGUAGAACUGCUAUUAGAAGGAGGCUGGGGACUCCCUGAUGAUGUGAACCAGCCCUUCUCUUCUCAGUUUCAGCACUUUGUGAUCAUAUUUAUAAACCUUGGACAGGGCUCCUUGGCCUUAGAGUUAAGUGAAGAGUUAACACUGUGACUUUAGAUGCAUUUUUCUCAGUGUAAGUGUCUGAGCUCAUCUCCAGUUCUGGACUCGUGCCCCCACUCCCGGGUGCUGACAGCAAGCUCUGAAGAUAUGCUGAGAGAGCUCCCUGACUCUCCUGACUCAGGUCUGCCAGUUGAUGAAGACAGCACAGUUGUUACCAAAAACAAAACCUGGCAGAUGGUCCUAGGUCAGGAUUAGUGGUCAUUCUCUGGUCUUCUCCAGACUGGUGACACAGGGUGGUCUUAAAAGAGUCCUAGUCCAGCCUCUGGCUCCCCGAAUUUCCUCUGGUGCAUGGGGCAUCAGGAAAGGGCAGGGGAGAAGGAGGGGGAGCAGAAAAAUAACUGAGGCUGGGCAGAAGGGUCCCUUCCAUUUCCCAUCCAUUGCUUCAAACAAUGGGUGAUUACCGUGCACCUUGAGUGAAUGUCAAGGCAGGAAGGGUUCCAGGGCCACCCAGUGUGGCAGGAGCAGAGCUGGGAUCAGAAUUCUGGAUUCCUGACUCUCCGUUCAGCUGCUAUUCAGCUAUCACCAAGCUGCUGAGUUUGUCCUACUUUCUCCUGGGUCACAUUCUGCUGUUGUUGGGAAACAGGGAGUGAGUGAAGGGAACCUGGGAACCCUUCUCCCCUCACCUUUUAAGGAUGUUCUGGGGUGGAAUAAAGAGAGGUGGAGGGUGGGGUGCCUGGGCCCAGCCUCCCUGGCUCCUGGUCCUUCUUUCUUCAGCAGGGAGUUCUGGCAAGGCCUGGGCCUGGGGAGGGGGCCUGGGUGCAGUUUUCUCCUGCGGUGUGGUUGGCUCUUUUGUCUUCCAGGAUGGGCCUGUGGGGUCUGUGUGGGGAAGGAAGGAGCUGGGAGCCUGGGCUGCCUGUGUGUCGGCUGGAUGCUGCCAGGUGGCUCCAUCUGGGCCGCAUCUCCAGGACUCCUGGCCUGGACUUCUCUUUGGACCUCGGGUGACCUUGGAUUCUGGCCACAGUGACUUAGCGGUCAGACUCCGGUGGUUUUCUAGCCCGCUGGGUGACUCCCUGAAGAUCUCAUCCUCUUCACACCUGUUGGGAUGGAGCCUCCCAUGGAUAGGAACUCUUCCUGGUUGAUGCUCAGCAGAUGACUGAUCUGGCUCUGGAGGACAGCUCCAGGGGUAUGAGGGAGGCCUGGCAGCCCACUACUCCCUCCUCACCUGCUCGGGCCCUGCCUGCUGGGCCCUAUUGUCUGGGUCUGGGGGCCCUUUCCUGCCCCAUGUGAACUUGAUUCCUCCUCGCGUUUCUGCCGGUGACCAGACAGAGCCUGGCCUGGGCCAAGUCCCCACUGACCACACUUUCCCCAAGGCUGGGUCUCAAAGGACCCUACAGGAUGGGGACAGGAACAAGGAUGGGAGUCGGGGAGGGGCUGUCAGGCAGAGGGCAGAUGCAGCUCCUCGGGUGCCGCUGGCUGGAGUCCUUUGUCUCCAUUUGCUCAGUGCGUAAUUGUCAUUUUGUGGGGGACUUCCUUGGUGGGGCUUUUCCAUGCUUUUCCUCUCCCUGAUGGUUACAAAGAGGAGACAGUCAGGAUCUGGGAGGAGCUGGAGCCUUCCCCCUGUGCUGUUGAACUCUGGGAGGGGCAGCCAGAGGGGCUGAGAGUGCACCAUCCUGAAAAGAGAGGGUCUUUAAGAGAUAAGAUUUAGGCUAGGGAAAUUCACUAGAAAGAGACAGGUGGCCCUGGGUUUUUUUUCCUGCCAUCCAAAGGGAACCAGUCUUACCCAAAGGCUUAAGGGGUCACCUUAGCCCAGUCUCAGGACACUCUUCUCCAAUCAGAUCGCUGCUUCUAGUUGCACUGCUCCUGGAUUCUGUUCUUGGGGAACAGAAGGUGGCAGGACAGGCCCCACAAUCUGCAAUUCCAGCUCCCUCCAGAGGAGACAGUCCCAGCGUUUGCAAGAGAGCAGCUUGUGGCCUCCCUUAGGCAAGUUUAAAAGCCAGAUGUCCUUUUUCCCAGAAUGCGGAGUGGUGUGUACUAUUCAUCAGCUUGGGCUGCCACAGCACCAUGCCAGACUGGAUGGCUUAAACAUCAGGAAUUUAUUUUCUGCCAGUUCUGGAGGCUGGAAAGUCCAGAUCAAGGUGUUAAGACUUGGUUUCUGGUGAGGCCUCUCUCCUUGGCUUGCAGGUGGCACCUUCUCACUAUGUCCUCACAUGGCCUUUUCUCUGUGGAGAGGGACAGAGAGCAUGAGCAGGCUCUGGUGUCUCCUCCUCUUCUUAUAAAGACACUAAUAUCACCAUAUUAGGGCUUAAACCUAUGACCUCAUUUAACCUUAACCCCUUAAAGGUCCCAUCUCCAAAAACAGUCACAUAGCAGGCUACUGCUUCAACAUAUGCAUUUGGGGGAGGGGACACCAUUCAGUUCUUAACAGGGUGGUCACCGCAAACAUGGAAAGUCAGAGCCUUCUCCCCUUCAGAAUUCCCGCCCCCACCCAGGGAUGGGGAGGAGGAGCAGAGAGGUAUGGGAAGCAGACACGGAGAGUGGCAGGUACCAUGCUGGGGUGGCUCAGGAGUGCUUCGGAGGACAUAUGGAACUGGCAGGGCUCAGUGCAGGGAGGCGGAGGCCCUGGGAGAGCCGUGUCCUGAGAAGGGCCUGGGCUACAACCCUGGGCAAGUUACUUCACCUCUGAGCCUCCGAUGCUCUGUGAAAUGGAAGGAAUGUGCUUGCCUGUCAGGUGCAGGGAGAAUUCAGUGAGAUUGUGUGCCUAGCACAGUGCCUGACUCCCAGUAGGUGCUCAGCAAAUGCUCCCAUCCAUCUGGGAGUAUAGACUUAGGGUUUAUCUAUUUUUUUUUUUUUUUGGCUCUCUGGACUUUAAAACUCAGCAUCUUCUGAACCAGAGGCAUUUCUGAUUAGCCCUUCCCUACCUAUUUUCCUAGUAUCACUCUUUAAUCAGCUUGGGGAGGUGGCAGCAUUUCAUGGCCUCCGUAGUAACUCACAAUGCUUCCUGGGGUAUUUAAAUUCUACUCUCUCAUCAGCACUGAGCACCUACUUUGGGCCCUUUCCCGUGCUAGCCAUUUGGGGGAAAUAUAGGUGAAGAGUGGCUGGGGUUUGAACCUUUAGGAUUUCACAGCCAUGCUGGAUGGGAUAAAACCAGCUCACAUGGAGAAUCAGAGAAUGGGACAGUGCCACAAAACAGUCUACUGAGGCACAAGUUCUGAGUGCCUGGGAAGUGGUAGAGAGACCCCAGAGAGGGCUGCUGCAGUCUGGAACAGCUUCCUAGCAAGCUGUACCAAACAGGGCCUUGAAGGAUGAGAAAGAUCUGGCUGAGAUGAUACCCGACCCUCUAGGGAAAUUCUUAAAGUAACUUCUAGGAAAUGUCAUUGCUCCUUAAAAAAAAAAAAAAAAAAAAAAAAGCAGGUUCUAAUUCAAAUUCCGCUGCACUACUGAAGUAGUGCAGGACUUAUCAGAACCUUUAAAAUGCUAAUGGCAAUUUCAAAUACUCAGGGACAGGGCAUAGGAUGAAGUGUUCCUUGACUUUUAUGGCCGUAGAAUCUUUUUCUCAUGGAACAUCGUUUAGAACUGUGGGAGAUGCUAGGCUGGGGUUUCUAUGGGAAAAGUACAGCAGUGAUAGAAGAUGGCAUAAUUAGGGUACACUUAGGUGCUUUGUAGCAUUGGCUGAAAAGGAAGCAGACCGGGUGGGCGUGGGGGAGUCUCAACUUGGUUCCAGGAGCCAGGCCAGCUUGAUGCGUUUUUUUUUUUUCUAAUGGUGGGAGGGCAGGCCAAUAGUUGGAGAAACUAGAGGCCUGACAGUCGGUGAUGGAAGAGAUGUCUACUAAGCACGGUUGUCAGAUCUUUUGCGGAGAGAUGCGGGUGUGCGUGUGUCUGUCAGAGUGUAACAGGAUCCAGCCCUCUGGGAAGGGGCUGACCAGAACCAGGCAGGGGGUUUCUGUCUAGGACAAGUAGGGUCCAUUUUCAGGGGAGCUGAAAUAUUUGCAGGGGGUGCUCUGAGACCCACAGCCAAUAAAUAGGGAAGCAACAUGCUUUUGGGCAGGGUCCAUGUGGUUAGGGUUGAUUUUGAUGGGGCUGGGGGGCUUAGAGUUAGACCCCCUGCCCUGGUCAGGCCCCACUCCCUGGCUGGUGGGGGCGGGAGGCCUCUGAAGCUGCAGCUGGAGGGGCCGGGGCAGUGUUGCAUGGUGUGAUUAACCUACUAACCCAGGGCUCAGCCGGGACGCUGUGGCGUGUGACGAGGUGCCUGGCCUUCUGCCAACCAACUAACCCACUAACCAGGCCCGAGCAUGCCCUACUAACCACCCCCCCGCAGCCAGAUCCUACUAACUGUGCAGCUCAUGGGCCUUUCAAGGGGCUGGGAUAUGGGGGCAGCCAAGGCUCCAGAAGGCUCUGCCUAUGGGCUGGGAUCUUUGUGCAGACCCACGUUCCAGGACAGAGAAUGCAAAUAAGACUCACCAACUCUGCCACUUCCUGUUGAGUGAGUUUGAGUAAGUCACCUCACUUCUCUCAACCUCAGUUUCCUCAGUGGUAGAAUGCGAGUUCUGAUACCUUACAGGUUGCAGUGAGGAUUCCCGUCAAUAUAAGGGUCUCAGCACAUGGCAGACACCUAAAAAAAAAAAAAGUAUGAGGAUGGAGGAAGGCCCCUCAAACCUGGUUGAACACGUCUGCUGCCUAGGCCCUGGCCUCUCUGGGUGUUCUGCACACAGAUCCUUCUGCCUGGGGCAAGACACUUGGCUUUGAAUCCAUGUCACUUCCCCACAUUCUUCCUCCGUCUCAGCUUUCUUUUCUGUAGGCAGCUCUUUUGUUCGAUUACUAACCCGUCUAACCCCUGGGGUGCCUCAACUGCACCCCGAUCAUCCCUUAACAAACUAACGGACCUGCGUGCGUUCUUCCUUUUCUCUUAGCGACUCCUGUGUGUGUCUGCUGAGGUGCCCUGUCCGCUGGUGCUGUGCUCUGACUUACUAACCCAGCCCCUACUAACCCUGUUUUCUCUUCUUACUAACCCCAGCCCUGCCGAGCUCUGGGCUCCCCCCGGGGGCUGGUCCCCCUCCUUUUGGCAAGCAGAUGACCUGGGGCUACUGGCCCUGUAGACAGAUGUCCCACUUUGCUGCCCCAUAUUGGCUGUAAGAUCAGAGUCCACUGGGCCAGGUCUAAGGCAGGGGAUGGCCCUAUUAACAAGACUCAGAGGAGGAAGAGGUGGUCCUGUGGAUGUGGGAGGCUGGACUCUGAGUAUGACAUCUCUCCUAUGUGCAGAAGUCUGGUUGCCACUGGGAGUAGGUGGGACCAGGGAAAUCUCUGGGACGUGAGUGUGGAGGCCUGUUGGUCUAGACUCUAGACUGUGGAGCUCUGAGCUUUUGUGUCCUCUGGAAGGAAGCUGGGGAAGAAUCCUCUCCAUUGUUAAGUGACGGGGAUAGAAGCUGUCCUGCACAGGAAGUCACGAGGGGGGCGUAUCCCACGAGGAAGGCAGGAGGGGGCGUGCCCCUCACCGGAAAUUAGCAGAGGGGCGUGUCCCACACCGGAAGUCAGAAAGCGGAGCCUUUCUUACACCGGAAGUCAAUGAAGCGGGUCUUUCCUACGCUAAAAACCACUGAGUGGAGUAUUUAGUACACAGGAAGUCGGC